This 206-nucleotide long non-coding RNA is filed under the name Panax ginseng (ginseng). RNAcentral's name for it is "long non-coding RNA (PGIN_LNC010882)". The record is from RNAcentral. Lineage: Eukaryota; Viridiplantae; Streptophyta; Magnoliopsida; Apiales; Araliaceae.
CCCCAUGUGACCCCCACAUUCGUCUAGCUAUAGGCUCAACAACCUUGAAAGGAAGAGAAGACUGAAGAAAAUACCCAACUAAGCUUGAUGCCCAAAGCUUGUUACCCCGGUUGAGCAUGUCGUCUGGAGGACAUACUGUGAUGUUCCCAUAAGAUAAAGAAGGGGGGUGGUAAGAUAAGGUUCGAGAGGAUUUGCCAGAGUCUUUG